UGCUUCUUAAUUUUUCCCACUUUUUCACUUAAUUUCAAUAUUUAUAGCUCCGCAAAUGCAGUAUUGCAGUUUUCGCCCCAUUUCACCCCGAAAUCGGUUUUGUCACACAAUGCCCUUUUGACCAUAAGCCGUAACGUGAAGUAUUCCUUAAUUGAAGUAUUUUAUUGUUCGUAACAAUAAACGAAAUUACUUUUUGUGGCUAUUUAUUUGAAUUUGAAAACCCCGCUUUCGAAACAACCCAGUGAAGUGUGCAUAAACCGAAAUCCCGUAAGGGUGAAGUGAAUUUUGCUAAGAUUCGUUCUGUAGCCAUUCGGGGGUCUGGCCUUGUCAAAAUAUUUAGUUUUGAGGUGAUCGUCUAGAGAUUGUUUGGGGGACACUACUUUGUAGUUCAAAAUUCGUUAUUUCAAGUACAGUGUGUCUGGGGAAAAGAAACUCUAUGAACUCUACGGACUUCAUGAGAAUUAUUUAUUCAACAUACUACACACAUCAUCUGCAGGUAUCUCUACUAUCUAUCCCCGGCAUCAAACGGAUGUAAGCUGGGGUGUGAGAAUUUAAACAAAUUGAUUACGCGGACCCGCCCCGGGAAAUUUAAAAAGACGGUUGCAAGAGGGACUCCCAGAGGUUCCGACCACCGCGUGCUCUCCAUUCCCUAACCUUGGGUAUACAUCUCUCCCCAAGCCUCGAGGUAAAAGCUAGGCUCUCUUUUUUAAUUUGGCAUGUUUUGUAGUUGGGCCAUUGCACUCACUGGGACUGCCGAGGUCUUUUUCCCUAGUGUGAUGCUUCUCCCCCGUUACUUUCAAUGCUGAACCCGCUCCGUAUUUCCUGAUCCCCGUUGGCUAACUGUUACCGACCUGCAUCAAAAUCCCCUGGAUAUGGAUAUGGAUAUGGAUAUGUAAUAACUGUUGCAAGAUUCUCUAUCCUAAAGUUGAAGAUGAAGCGUAUUUGUCGGUUCGUAGAAAUGUCGAAGAAAUACACAAACGCCAGUUGUUAGUUUUGGAAAAACUGAACAGCUGGAGGCACCAAAUUGCCCAAUAUUUGGACAAAAACGUGGGCUGUGUCUUAUCUAAGAGUAAUAUGGAGACCUUGGUUUUGCAAAUUUCGCAGUCAUCACACGUGAAGGAACAUUUGGACGAAAUUAUGCAAAUAUUGUCGGAGGGAAAUCCCGUCCGGUUUAAUGAAUUUUCUAGAAAUAAACGUAAAUUUAACCAAACUGGGUUUGGUAGAAAUGAACCGUCUGGAAGUAAUAAGAAAAAAUGGAAUAAUCAAAUUGGCAAAAAUGUGCAAAACAUGUUUGACUUGAGGAACACUUUGCCCCAAAGGGACAGGAAGCCCUUCUGGAACAAGCAAGCGGCCAAACGUUUUCACAAGUAUAACUAGACCACAAAAUUUUUUUUUUGGAUUAAUUCUUUUUGGUAAGUUUCAAUUUUAUUCAGUUAAUUAUGUUUUUUAUGAGUGGUUUGGACCACUUUUAUUUUUUUCAUUUGGGUACAAAUGCGUCUUUAUGGAAACGCUGCUUCACAAAAUACAGCUUAAUGUGUUUGAAAAAAUUAGAAAGAUAUUUCGCUUAACUCCACAAUGUGAAUUCAUAAGUGAAAUAUUUCGAAAACUACUGUGGGUAUAGGGCUCCUGAGGUUGAUAAAAACAAAACUACUAAAACAUUUAAGAUAUUGGAAAAGACAAUAACAAACAUAUUGUAUAAGUGCGGCAAUAAACUUAAUAAAUUAUAUAGUUCAUUCAAAAAAAAAAUAAAGUAACAAACCUUUCCCCCCUCCAUUAUUUCAUUCGUGGAAGAAUAACAAAUUAGUUUCGAGGGAAAAAUAGUUUAAAAAGCUGAUGUUUUGUAAAAUGAAAAAAAUUAUUAAAGUGCACUUAUCUUCAUGGCAUCUACUUCCGCUACAAUAUGUAGCAAUAAGGUAUUACAAAUAAAUAAAAACCAAGUUAAUAUUA
Long non-coding RNA from Tribolium castaneum (red flour beetle), 1947 nucleotides. RefSeq lists it as uncharacterized. Lineage: Eukaryota; Metazoa; Arthropoda; Insecta; Coleoptera; Tenebrionidae. The transcript is spliced from 3 exons. The record is from RefSeq and is a predicted model, not a curated record.